RNAcentral lists this ribosomal RNA (497 nucleotides) under uncultured bacterium. RNAcentral describes it as "partial 16S ribosomal RNA". It matches the Rfam family "Bacterial small subunit ribosomal RNA", at positions 28 to 507 of the family's 1533-position model. The record is from RNAcentral.
GACGAACGCUGGCGGCGUGCCUAAUACAUGCAAGUUGAGCGCUGAAGGUUGGUACUUGUACCAACUGGAUGAGCAGCGAACGGGUGAGUAACGCGUGGGGAAUCUGCCUUUGAGCGGGGGACAACAUUUGGAAACGAAUGCUAAUACCGCAUAAAAACUUUAAACACAAGUUUUAAGUUUGAAAGAUGCAAUUGCAUCACUCAAAGAUGAUCCCGCGUUGUAUUAGCUAGUUGGUGAGGUAAAGGCUCACCAAGGCGAUGAUACAUAGCCGACCUGAGAGGGUGAGCGGCCACAUUGGGACUGAGACACGGCCCAAACUCCUACGGGAGGCAGCAGUAGGGAAUCGUCGGCAAUGGACGAAAGUCUGACCGAGCAACGCCGCGUGAGUGAAGAAGGUUUUCGGAUCGUAAAACUCUGUUGGUAGAGAAGAACGUGGGUGAGAGUGGAAAGCUCAUCAAGUGACGGUAACUACCCAGAAAGGGACGGCUAACUACGUG